This is a long non-coding RNA of Brassica oleracea var. oleracea, 401 nucleotides long. RefSeq lists it as uncharacterized. The record is from RefSeq and is a predicted model, not a curated record. NCBI's taxonomy places the organism in Eukaryota, Viridiplantae, Streptophyta, Magnoliopsida, Brassicales, Brassicaceae. The transcript is spliced from 3 exons.
CUUUUAAAAACCUUGGAUGGUUUUGAGCACUUGUUCUUCUGACAAAUACGUCUUCUCAAGUGACUUGCCAAUCUUUUUCUCCCACAAGGCGACAAGUUCGUUCAUUGAUAGAGUGUUCUUAGGAGGACUGAUGUAGAGGGUUUUGUUUAAAGUCCUUGGAUCAUCCACUGCUCUGAUCAUGGUCCUAACCUUUGGCGUUUCCGUCGCCCAAAAUGGUGACUUUGUCUCGAGGAGGAGAAGUAAGACCAGGCUGAAACUGAACCAACGUACGCAAGUACAAACCCGCGGCACAGUUGUUAACAACAAGGCAAGAAUCUCUGCAAAAGCAAAUCCAUUUUUGAGACUAUAUGAGCAAAUGGAUAAGUGAAGGGUUUCAGCCUAAGACCGACCUUGACAUUACC